CUGAUUCCCAAAGUCUGAAAUGCUUGGUAAUUAAAUAAUGUGUUCUUACUGAUGCUGAUUCUACUCACCUUUUUUCUUACCCUUCUUUUCUUUAGGUAGAAUACUCCCAAUUCCAUUCAUUCUUACAUAUAUCUUCAAUUACAUUUUCAGUUCAUUUGGUUACACCCCUUUGAUCUCCCAGUUUUUGGUGAAGACUCUUGUUAGAGCUAUUAGUGGGAGAAAUCUAUUUGUCUGUACUUGUACUCACCACUUUUGAACAAGAUACUUUUGUACAAAAGUUUUGGCAUCAGAGUCUUCCUUCAUCUGAGGGCCUUGAACUAUACAUAUAAAGGAAUUAAUAGAUGUAAAAUAUAAGGAGGAUUACCUUCAGUUUCUGUAUUUUCCUUCUGUUUUCAUCACCCACUAUCUUGAUUGUUAUUUUAACAAUAGUGCUGUGCUGCUCCUCUGUGGUCCAAUUUUUCUUGGUCUCAGUGGGAAGGCCUCUCUUUUAUUUAUCUGUUUGUUCCUAUUAUGUGGAAAUUAAACUUUAAGUGGCUAUACACCUGUUUAUUCAUUCUGCAAGUGGUAUUGCUCACUGUGAGUGGUUGUUUUUGAUGCUAAUACUGCUUCUUGCCUUGUUUUAUUUGGAUUCCUGACAUGUUUUCAGGCCUGCAGUAUCUAAUAAAUAACAGUAAUGAA
Molecule: long non-coding RNA, 678 nt
Filed under: Bos taurus (domestic cattle)
Lineage: Eukaryota; Metazoa; Chordata; Mammalia; Artiodactyla; Bovidae
Description: long non-coding RNA NONBTAT018268
Source: RNAcentral